CAAAGGAAGCGAUUCCGGCGGGGGAUGGACAUGCGGCGCAUUAGCUAGUCGGCGGGGUAACGGCCCACCGAGGCGACGAUGCGUAGGGGUUCUGAGAGGAAGGUCCCCCACACUGGUACUGAGACACGGACCAGACUCCUACGGGAGGCAGCAGUGAGGAAUAUUGGUCAAUGGGCGGGAGCCUGAACCAGCCAAGUCGCGUGAGGGAAGACGGUCCUAUGGAUUGUAAACCUCUUUUGCCGGGGAGCAACGGGGUCCUUGCGAGGGCCCAAUGAGAGUACCCGGAGAAAAAGCAUCGGCUAACUCCGUGCCAGCAGCCGCGGUAAUACGGAGGAUGCGAGCGUUAUCCGGAUUUAUUGGGUUUAAAGGGUGCGUAGGCGGGCUGUUAAGUCAGCGGUCAAAUGUCGGGGCUCAACCCCGGCCUGCCGUUGAAACUGGUGGCCUCGAGUGGGCGAGAAGUAUGCGGAAUGCGUGGUGUAGCGGUGAAAUGCAUAGAUAUCACGCAGAACUCCGAUUGCGAAGGCAGCAUACCGGCGCCCGACUGACGCUGAGGCACGAAAGCGUGGGUAUCGAACAGGAUUAGAUACCCUGGUAGUCCACGCAGUAAACGAUGAAUGCUAGCUGUCCGGGGCUUCGGU
RNAcentral lists this ribosomal RNA (638 nucleotides) under uncultured bacterium. RNAcentral's name for it is "bacterial SSU rRNA". It matches the Rfam family "Bacterial small subunit ribosomal RNA", at positions 202 to 836 of the family's 1533-position model. The record is from RNAcentral.